CGACGUGAGGAACCUGCCUUUCAGAGGGGGACAACAGUUGGAAACGACUGCUAAUACCGCAUAACGCAUGGGUAUCGCAUGGUAUCUGUGCCAAAGAUUUAUCGCUGAGAGAUGGCCUCGCGUCUGAUUAGCUAGUUGGUGAGGUAACGGCCCACCAAGGCGACGAUCAGUAGCCAGACUGAGAGGUUGGCCGGCCACAUUGGGACUGAGACACGGCCCAAACUCCUACGGAAGGCAGCAG
This 241-nucleotide ribosomal RNA is filed under the name uncultured bacterium. Its description in RNAcentral is "partial 16S ribosomal RNA". It matches the Rfam family "Bacterial small subunit ribosomal RNA", at positions 113 to 354 of the family's 1533-position model. The record is from RNAcentral.